Molecule: long non-coding RNA, 220 nt
Organism: Suricata suricatta (meerkat)
Lineage: Eukaryota; Metazoa; Chordata; Mammalia; Carnivora; Herpestidae
Exons: 3
Source: RefSeq, a predicted model, not a curated record
GUUGAAGAGAAAGCAGGUGCGAGAAAUUUGGCUCCUGGAAGGAAGCACCAGACAUCAGCAAGAAAGGUUUCCCAUGAUCAACUAUAUUGCAUCAAACCUCAGGCUGGACCUUAUUGUCGAAGUCGGAUUGUGCAGUCCUCACAGAAGGUGAGAGAGGUGGCCAGGCUAUGCUGCUUCUUGCCCAGGUAAGAUAAGAGAGGAAACCACCUGGAGAAUAAAA